This 550-nucleotide ribosomal RNA is filed under the name uncultured bacterium. Its description in RNAcentral is "bacterial SSU rRNA". It matches the Rfam family "Bacterial small subunit ribosomal RNA", at positions 355 to 896 of the family's 1533-position model. The record is from RNAcentral.
UAGGGAAUCUUCGGCAAUGGACGGAAGUCUGACCGAGCAACGCCGCGUGAGUGAAGAAGGUUUUCGGAUCGUAAAGCUCUGUUGUAAGAGAAGAACGAGCGUGAGAGUGGAAAGUUCACACUGUGACGGUAUCUUACCAGAAAGGGACGGCUAACUACGUGCCAGCAGCCGCGGUAAUACGUAGGUCCCGAGCGUUGUCCGGAUUUAUUGGGCGUAAAGCGAGCGCAGGCGGUUAGAUAAGUCUGAAGUUAAAGGCUGUGGCUUAACCAUAGUACGCUUUGGAAACUGUUUAACUUGAGUGCAAGAGGGGAGAGUGGAAUUCCAUGUGUAGCGGUGAAAUGCGUAGAUAUAUGGAGGAACACCGGUGGCGAAAGCGGCUCUCUGGCUUGUAACUGACGCUGAGGCUCGAAAGCGUGGGGAGCAAACAGGAUUAGAUACCCUGGUAGUCCACGCCGUAAACGAUGAGUGCUAGGUGUUAGACCCUUUCCGGGGUUUAGUGCCGUAGCUAACGCAUUAAGCACUCCGCCUGGGGAGUACGACCGCAAGGUUG